AACGCAUAUUGCGCCCUUUGGCAUUCCGAAGGGCAUGCCUGUUCGAGCGUCAUUAUCACCCCUCAAGCCUAGCUUGGUGUUGGAUGGUCGGUUACUAUACCUGUAACCCCUCCUAAAAGUAAUGACGGUGUUCUGUUGGACCCCCGAUACAUUGAGCAUCUUUACAGGGCACGUGUCGGUUUAAAGGGUGACAGGCCCGGUCUUUCUCCCACAGUGGGAAAACUCUGAAAGUUGACCUCGGAUCAGGUAGGAAUACCCGCUGAACUUAA
RNAcentral lists this unclassified non-coding RNA (269 nucleotides) under uncultured fungus. Its description in RNAcentral is "sequence contains ITS2". The record is from RNAcentral. Lineage: Eukaryota; Fungi.